Molecule: ribosomal RNA, 456 nt
Filed under: Eutreptiella gymnastica
Lineage: Eukaryota; Euglenozoa; Euglenophyceae; Eutreptiales; Eutreptiaceae
Description: partial Eukaryotic large subunit ribosomal RNA
Source: RNAcentral
AGGAGGGGAUAUGAGCUACCAUGAACCCCAUGGCCCGAUUACAUGACCCGAAUGAUUUAAAUCAAGGGUGGAGAAUGAGAGCAGUGAAAGAUCGAAAUUACCCAGAACACCUUGAUGACAUAAUCGCCCAGCUCACCUGGAGAUGGGGUUAGUAGUAGGGGAUGGACUGAGGACUGAGAGGACUGAGGACUGCGAAUAACAUGAGCCGUAUCAUCGAGAUCACUCAGAUCACCCAAAAAAUUGAUGACACGGCACCAUUCGGGGGGAGAGGACAUGAUGUGGGGUCGAAAACAUGUGUCAAAACAGUACGAUGCCAAGAAUAUUACCUGAUUCCUUAAAAAGGGGUUUGUAGCAAUGAUAGAUAUGACUCAGCCAUCUUCCAGGGCAUGUGCCCGGCGCUCCGGUCCCACAACCUCAAACAAAUAAUCACAACUUUCUGUCAGAAUUACCCGUCGC